Molecule: ribosomal RNA, 507 nt
Filed under: Escherichia coli
Lineage: Bacteria; Pseudomonadati; Pseudomonadota; Gammaproteobacteria; Enterobacterales; Enterobacteriaceae
Description: partial 23S ribosomal RNA
Rfam family: Bacterial large subunit ribosomal RNA
Source: RNAcentral
CGGGACACGUGGUAUCCUGUCUGAAUAUGGGGGGACCAUCCUCCAAGGCUAAAUACUCCUGACUGACCGAUAGUGAACCAGUACCGUGAGGGAAAGGCGAAAAGAACCCCGGCGAGGGGAGUGAAAAAGAACCUGAAACCGUGUACGUACAAGCAGUGGGAGCACGCUUAGGCGUGUGACUGCGUACCUUUUGUAUAAUGGGUCAGCGACUUAUAUUCUGUAGCAAGGUUAACCGAAUAGGGGAGCCGAAGGGAAACCGAGUCUUAACUGGGCGUUAAGUUGCAGGGUAUAGACCCGAAACCCGGUGAUCUAGCCAUGGGCAGGUUGAAGGUUGGGUAACACUAACUGGAGGACCGAACCGACUAAUGUUGAAAAAUUAGCGGAUGACUUGUGGCUGGGGGUGAAAGGCCAAUCAAACCGGGAGAUAGCUGGUUCUCCCCGAAAGCUAUUUAGGUAGCGCCUCGUGAAUUCAUCUCCGGGGGUAGAGCACUGUUUCGGCAAGGGGGU